GGAGGGUGCAAGCGUUGUCCGGAUUUAUUGGGUUUAAAGGGUGCGUAGACGGCCUGUUAAGUCAGCGGUGAAAUCCCAGGGCUCAACCCUGGAACUGCCGUUGAUACUGGCAGGCUUGAGUCCGGUCGAGGCGGGCGGAACUGGUGGUGUAGCGGUGAAAUGCAUAGAUACCACCAAGAACCCCGAUUGCGAAGGCAGCUCGCUGGGCCUGUGACUGACGCUGAGGCACGAAAGCGUGGGGAGCGAACAGGAUUAGAUACCCUGGUAGUCCACGCCGUAAACGAUGAUUACUCGAUGUUUGCGAUAUACGGCAAGCGUCCAAGCGAAAGCGUUAAGUAAUCCACCUGGGGAGUACGCCCGCAAGGGUG
RNAcentral lists this ribosomal RNA (368 nucleotides) under uncultured bacterium. Its description in RNAcentral is "bacterial SSU rRNA". It matches the Rfam family "Bacterial small subunit ribosomal RNA", at positions 527 to 896 of the family's 1533-position model. The record is from RNAcentral.